RNAcentral lists this ribosomal RNA (1003 nucleotides) under Balamuthia mandrillaris. RNAcentral describes it as "SSU rRNA". It matches the Rfam family "Bacterial small subunit ribosomal RNA", at positions 410 to 1449 of the family's 1533-position model. Lineage: Eukaryota; Discosea; Longamoebia; Balamuthiidae. The record is from RNAcentral.
GAAGACCACUAAACGUUGUAAAGUACUAAGCUCGGGGAUAAUAAUGACGGUACCCGAGUAAAAAGCCCUGACUAACUUCGUGCCAGCAGUCGCGGUAAAACGGAGAGGGCAAGUGUUAUUCGUAUUGACUGGGUGUAAAGGGUACGUAGGCGGUUAUUUAAGUUAUAAAAAAAAGCUAUAUCUUUUUAUAAUACUAUAUGACUAGAGUUAAAAAGGGGAUGGCGGUACCUCCAGUUUAGAAGUGACAUUCGUUUGAGAUUGGGGGGACCAACAAUAGGCGACGGCUGCUUUCCAUUUUUAUACUGACGCUGAGGUACGAAAGCAUGGGGAGCGAACAGGAUUAGAGACCCUGGUAGUCCAUGCCCUGACCUAUGAAUAUUAAUCGUCCAUUUAGAUAGUGGAUGACUAAGCUAACGCGAAAAUAUUCCACCUGAGGACUACGGCCGCAAGGUUAAAACUCAAAGAAAUUGGCGGAAGAUCGUUUAAGCGGUGGAGUAUGUGGUUUAAUUCGAUAAUACGCGAAAAACCUUACCAAUCUUUGUGCACAUUUUCGGUUAUACAAAACUCGUAGUCUGGAUUGAGGUGGUCAAUUUGGACUAAUUAUGUGCCAGGCGUUGCAUGGCUGUCGUAAGCUCGUGUCUUAGGAUGUGUGGUUAACUCCAUGAACGGGCGCAACCCUUGUUCCUAAUUAGAUUAGGAAUGAAAACAGUGAAAACUGCUUUUGAGGAUGAGGAGUAUGUCAAGUCAAUAUGACCUUUAUAGAUUGGGCUACACACGUACUACAACGGUAGUUACAAUGAGAAACAAUGCCGUGAGGCGGAGUAAAUCUCUAAAAUCUACCCUAGUUCGGAUUAUUUUUUGAAAUAAAAAUAUGAAGCCGGAAUCGCUAGUAAUCGCAAAAAAGAAUGUUGCGGUGAAUAUUAAGACCGAUCUUAGUACACACCGCCCGUCACGCCAUGGAAGCUUGUUUGGUUUGAAGAUAUUAAGUCACAUGUUUCGAAGU